GGCGGGGUAGCUCAGUUGGUUAGAGCACACGGCUCAUAAUCGUGGUGUCGCGGGUUCAAGUCCCGCCCUCGCUAC
RNAcentral lists this transfer RNA (75 nucleotides) under Curtobacterium luteum. Its description in RNAcentral is "tRNA-Met". It matches the Rfam family "tRNA". Rfam says of the family: Transfer RNA (tRNA) molecules are approximately 80 nucleotides in length. Their secondary structure includes four short double-helical elements and three loops (D, anti-codon, and T loops). Lineage: Bacteria; Bacillati; Actinomycetota; Actinomycetes; Micrococcales; Microbacteriaceae. The record is from RNAcentral.